UCCCCGUUACCGGGGCAGUCUGACUAGAAAAAUCCAACUAGUCAUAAGGGUUGCGCUCGUUGAAGGACUUAACCUAACAUCUCACGACACGAGCUGACGACGGCCAUGCAACACCUGUCACCGGGUUCCCGAAGGCACAAACUCCUUUCGGAGUCCUUCCCGGGAUGUCAAGCCUUGGUAAGGUUCUUGGCUUAGCAUCCAAUUAAACAACACGCUCCACCGCUUGUGCGGGCCCCCGUCUAUUCCUUUGAGUUUUAAUCUUGCGACCGUACUCCCCAGGCGGGAUGCUUAACGCGUUAGCUUCGCUACUGAAGCGGGUCGAUCGCCCAACAGCUAGCAUCCAUAGUUUACGGCGUGGACUAC
RNAcentral lists this unclassified non-coding RNA (363 nucleotides) under uncultured bacterium. RNAcentral's name for it is "contains 16S-23S intergenic spacer region". The record is from RNAcentral.